This 77-nucleotide transfer RNA is filed under the name Vibrio parahaemolyticus. RNAcentral describes it as "tRNA-Asp". It matches the Rfam family "tRNA". Rfam says of the family: Transfer RNA (tRNA) molecules are approximately 80 nucleotides in length. RNAcentral also lists the same sequence under 146 other names. Lineage: Bacteria; Pseudomonadati; Pseudomonadota; Gammaproteobacteria; Vibrionales; Vibrionaceae. The record is from RNAcentral.
GGUUUGGUAGUUCAGUUGGUUAGAAUGCCUGCCUGUCACGCAGGAGGUCGCGGGUUCGAGUCCCGUCCAGACCGCCA